GAUGAACGCUGGCGGCGUGCCUAAUACAUGCAAGUCGAGCGAACGGACGAUAAUCUUUCUUCUCUUAUGUUAUCGGCUGACGUGUUAUUAACACUUGGAUAACCUACCUAUAAUACUUGUAUAACUUCGUGAAACCUUAUCUAAUACCGUAUGAUAUUUUUAACCGCAUGUUUCAUAAGUUAAUGACGUUCUUGCUGUCACUUAUAUAUGUAUCCGCGCUGCAUUAGCUAGUUGGUAAGGUAACGGCUUACCAAGGCAACGAUGCAUAUCCGACAUGAGAGGGUGAGCGGACAAACUGGAACGGAGACAGGGACAAGAGUACUACGGGAGGCAGCAGAAGGGAAUAUUCCGAAAUGGGCGAAAGGAUGACGGAGCAAAGCAGCGUGAGUGAUGAAGGUGUAAGGAUCGUAAAACUCUGUUAUUAGGGAAGAAAAUAUGUGUAAGUAAAAGUGCACAGAUUGACGGUAACUAAUCAGAAAGCAACGGCUAACUACGUG
Molecule: ribosomal RNA, 497 nt
Filed under: uncultured bacterium
Lineage: Bacteria
Description: partial 16S ribosomal RNA
Rfam family: Bacterial small subunit ribosomal RNA
Source: RNAcentral